CGGUCACGUUCGUUGCUUAAAUAGCAAGACCAACAACCAAUAAUUAUUUGUAAAAAAUAAAAACUGAUUAUUUAAUUAGCCCCACUAUUUUUAAGUACGCAAUUAAGCAGACAAAUCACUCCACGAACUAAGAACGGCCAUGCACCACCUAUCACACAAUCAUGAAAGAUCUUCAUGUUUACUUAUUUAAAAUAAAAUAAAAUUUUAUUUUAAAUAAUUUAUCUGUCAAUCCUCAGUGUGUCCGGACCCGGUAAGGUUUCCCGCGUUGGGUCAAAUUAAGCCACAUGCUCCAC
This 293-nucleotide ribosomal RNA is filed under the name Foraminifera environmental sample. RNAcentral describes it as "partial small subunit ribosomal RNA". The record is from RNAcentral. Lineage: Eukaryota; Foraminifera.